This 837-nucleotide ribosomal RNA is filed under the name uncultured archaeon. RNAcentral's name for it is "bacterial SSU rRNA". It matches the Rfam family "Archaeal small subunit ribosomal RNA", at positions 21 to 859 of the family's 1478-position model. The record is from RNAcentral.
GGUUACUGCUAUCGGUGUUCGCCUAAGCCAUGCGAGUCAUAUGUUCGUAAGAACAUGGCGUACUGCUCAGUAACACGUGGAUAACCUGCCCUUGGGUCCGGCAUAACCCCGGGAAACUGGGGAUAAUUCCGGAUAACGCACAUAUGCUGGAAUGCUUUCUGCGUAAAGUGGAUUCGUCUGCCCAAGGAUGGGUCUGCGGCCUAUCAGGUAGUAGUGGGUGUAAUGUACCUACUAGCCUACGACGGGUACGGGUUGUGAGAGCAAGAGCCCGGAGAUGGAUUCUGAGACAUGAAUCCAGGCCCUACGGGGCGCAGCAGGCGCGAAAACUUUACAAUGCGGGAAACCGUGAUAAGGGGACACCGAGUGCCAGCAUCCUAUGCUGGCUGUCCGGGUGUGUAAAAUACACCUGUUAGCAAGGGCCGGGCAAGACCGGUGCCAGCCGCCGCGGUAACACCGGCGGCCCGAGUGGUGAUCGUGAUUAUUGGGUCUAAAGGGUCCGUAGCCGGUUUGGUCAGUCCUCCGGGAAAUCUGACAGCUUAACUGUUAGGCUUUCGGAGGAUACUGCCAGACUUGGAACCGGGAGAGGUAAGAGGUACUACAGGGGUAGGAGUGAAAUCUUGUAAUCCCUGUGGGACCACCUGUGGCGAAGGCGUCUUACCAGAACGGGUUCGACGGUGAGGGACGAAAGCUGGGGGCACGAACCGGAUUAGAUACCCGGGUAGUCCCAGCCGUAAACGAUGCUCGCUAGGUGUCAGGCAUGGCGCGACCGUGUUUGGUGCCGCAGGGAAGCCGUGAAGCGAGCCACCUGGGAAGUACGGCCGCAAGGCUGAAACUUAA